Small nuclear RNA from Sciurus vulgaris (Eurasian red squirrel), 108 nucleotides. The record is from Ensembl. NCBI's taxonomy places the organism in Eukaryota, Metazoa, Chordata, Mammalia, Rodentia, Sciuridae.
GUGCUCACUUCAGCAGCACAUAUACUGAAAUUGGAACCAUAUAGAGAAGAUCAGCGCAGUCCCCGUGAAGAGGAUGACCUGCCAAUUUGUGGAGCAUUCCAUACUUUU